Molecule: ribosomal RNA, 253 nt
Filed under: uncultured bacterium
Lineage: Bacteria
Description: partial 16S ribosomal RNA
Rfam family: Bacterial small subunit ribosomal RNA
Source: RNAcentral
UACGUAGGGGGCAAGCGUUGUCCGGAUUUACUGGGUGUAAAGGGCGUGCAGCCGGAGAGACAAGUCAGAUGUGAAAUCCACGGGCUCAACCCGUGAACUGCAUUUGAAACUGUUUCCCUUGAGUGUCGGAGAGGUAAUCGGAAUUCCUUGUGUAGCGGUGAAAUGCGUAGAUAUAAGGAAGAACACCAGUGGCGAAGGCGGAUUACUGGACGAUAACUGACGGUGAGGCGCGAAAGCGUGGGGAGCAAGCAGG